GCGUAAGUUAUCUACCCUGGCAUCUGGAAUAACUCACCGAAAGGUGUGCUAAUACCGGAUACGUUGAUUUAUCAAGAAAGGUGGCCUCUAUUUAUAAGCUACCGUGCUGGGAUGAGCUUGCGUACCAUUAGCUAGUUGGUAGGGUAAUGGCCUACCAAGGCAACGAUGGUUAGCGGGUCUGAGAGGAUGAUCCGCCACACUGGAACUGGAACACGGACCAGACUCCUACGGGAGGCAGCAGUGAGGAAUAUUGCGCAAUGGGGGAAACCCUGAUGCAGCCAUGCCGCGUGUGUGAAGAAG
Molecule: ribosomal RNA, 300 nt
Filed under: uncultured Desulfobulbaceae bacterium
Lineage: Bacteria; Pseudomonadati; Thermodesulfobacteriota; Desulfobulbia; Desulfobulbales; Desulfobulbaceae
Description: bacterial SSU rRNA
Rfam family: Bacterial small subunit ribosomal RNA
Source: RNAcentral